Molecule: ribosomal RNA, 425 nt
Filed under: uncultured bacterium
Lineage: Bacteria
Description: partial 16S ribosomal RNA
Rfam family: Bacterial small subunit ribosomal RNA
Source: RNAcentral
GUGGGGAAUAUUGGACAAUGGGCGCAAGCCUGAUCCAGCCAUGCCGCGUGAGUGAUGAAGGCCUUAGGGUUGUAAAGCUCUUUCAGUGGGGACGAUAAUGACGGCACCCACAGAAGAAGCCCCGGCUAACUUCGUGCCAGCAGCCGCGGUAAUACGAAGGGGGCUAGCGUUGUUCGGAUUUACUGGGCGUAAAGCGCACGUAGGCGGAUCGUUAAGUCGGGGGUGAAAUCCUGGAGCUCAACACCAGAACUGCCUUCGAUACUGGCGAUCUUGAGUCCGGAAGAGGUGAGUGGAACUCCUAGUGUAGAGGUGGAAUUCGUAGAUAUUAGGAAGAACACCAGUGGCGAAGGCGGCUCACUGGUCCGGUACUGACGCUGAGGUGCGAAAGCGUGGGGAGCAAACAGGAUUAGAUACCCCUGUAGUCC